AUGCAACAUCCCAAACACUAUUGCAACAUCGCAAACCAUUGUUGUGCAACGUUCAAAAUAACCUACCGAAACAUCAUGAAAAAUAAACCAUUCAACAUUAAACAUGUCGGUACAUGAAACAUCUCAAAUCAUCUCAUGCAACUUUGAAACAUAAUAAAGUCUCAAUAAAAAUAGAUUAAAAUAUCUGCAACAUCCAGAAUGAAUAAGUGAAACAUCCAAUGCUACCUAUUGCAACAUUUAACAUCUAUGACCCUCGGAACAUCUGAAACGCAAGAACUGCAACAUCUGAAACACAAGAAUUGCAACAUCUGAAAACCUCGACUGCAACAAUCUGAUUUACCUUUUACCAACACAAGGACCCAGAACUUUCC
This 371-nucleotide long non-coding RNA is filed under the name Setaria viridis. Its description in RNAcentral is "long non-coding RNA (SVIR_LNC005146)". The record is from RNAcentral. Lineage: Eukaryota; Viridiplantae; Streptophyta; Magnoliopsida; Poales; Poaceae.